GUAGGUGAACCUGCGGAAGGAUCAUUAUUGAAUAAACCUGGCGUGGUUGUAGCUGGUCCUCUCGGGGACAUGUGCUCGCCCGUCAUCUUUAUAUCUCCACCUGUGCACCCUUUGUAGACCUGGACGAUAACUUUCCGAGGCAACUCGGUCGGGAGGACUGCUGGCUUUCACGAGUCGGCUUUCCUUGUAUUAUCCAGGCCUAUGUCUUACACAUACCCCAAAGAAUGUAACAGAAUGUAUUGUAUAUGGCCCUAGUGCCUAUAAACUAUAUACAACUUUCAGCAACGGAUCUCUUGGCUCUC
RNAcentral lists this unclassified non-coding RNA (302 nucleotides) under rhizosphere metagenome. RNAcentral's name for it is "partial ribosomal RNA internal transcribed spacer region". The record is from RNAcentral.